RNAcentral lists this ribosomal RNA (1123 nucleotides) under uncultured bacterium. RNAcentral describes it as "bacterial SSU rRNA". It matches the Rfam family "Bacterial small subunit ribosomal RNA", at positions 47 to 1162 of the family's 1533-position model. The record is from RNAcentral.
AUUGAUUUUAUGCUUGCAUAAAUGAUUUUUGGAUUCGGAGCGAGUGGCGAACUGGUGAGUAACACGUGGGUAACCUGCCCCGAAGCGGGGGAUAACAUUUGGAAACAAGUGCUAAUACCGCAUAAUUAGUUGGAACCGCAUGGUUCCAACUUGAAAGAUGGCUCUGCUAUCACUUUGGGAUGGACCCGCGCCGUAUUAGUUAGUUGGUGAGAUAAAAGCCCACCAAGACGAUGAUACGUAGCCGACCUGAGAGGGUAAUCGGCCACAUUGGGACUGAGACACGGCCCAGACUCCUACGGGAGGCAGCAGUAGGGAAUCUUCCACAAUGGACGAAAGUCUGAUGGAGCAACGCCGCGUGAGUGACGAAGGUUUUCGGAUCGUAAAACUCUGUUGUUAAAGAAGAACAAGUGUUAGAGUAACUGUUAACACUUUGACGGUAUUUAACCAGAAAGCCACGGCUAACUACGUGCCAGCAGCCGCGGUAAUACGUAGGUGGCAAGCGUUGUCCGGAUUUAUUGGGCGUAAAGCGAGCGCAGGCGGUUUUGUAAGUCUGCUGUGAAAGCCCUCAGCUCAACUGAGGAAGUGCAGUGGAAACUACAAAACUUGAGUACAGAAGAGGAAAGUGGAACUCCAUGUGUAGCGGUGAAAUGCGUAGAUAUAUGGAAGAACACCAGUGGCGAAGGCGGCUUUCUGGUCUGUUACUGACGCUGAGGCUCGAAAGCAUGGGUAGCGAACAGGAUUAGAUACCCUGGUAGUCCAUGCCGUAAACGAUGAAUACUAGGUGUUGGAGGGUUUCCGCCCUUCAGUGCCGCAGCUAACGCAUUAAGUAUUCCGCCUGGGGAGUACGACCGCAAGGUUGAAACUCAAAGGAAUUGACGGGGGCCCGCGCAAGUGGUGGAGCAUGUGGUUUAAUUCGAUGCUACGCGAAGAACCUUACCAGCUCUUGACAUCUUCUGCCAACCCAAGAGAUUGGGCGUUCCCUUCGGGGACAGAAUGACAGGUGGUGCAUGGUUGUCGUCAGCUCGUGUCGUGAGAUGUUGGGUUAAGUCCCGCAACGAGCGCAACCCUUAUUAUUAGUUGCCAGCAUUUAGUUGGGCACUCUAGUGAGACUGCCGGUGAUAAA